GUGCCAGCAGCCGCGGUAAUACAGAGACUGCAAGCGUUAUUCGGAUUCACUGGGCGUAAAGGGUGCGCAGGCGGCCAAGUGUGUGAGGCGUGAAAGCCCGAUGCUCAACAUCGGAAUUGCACCUCAAACUACAUGGCUAGAGCAUUGGAGAGGGUAGCGGAAUUCACGGUGUAGCAGUGAAAUGCGUAGAUAUCGUGAGGAACACCAGAGGCGAAGGCGGCUACCUGGACAAUUGCUGACGCUCAGGCACGAAAGCGUGGGGAGCAAAAGGGAUUAGAAACCCCCGUAGUCC
RNAcentral lists this ribosomal RNA (292 nucleotides) under uncultured bacterium. Its description in RNAcentral is "partial 16S ribosomal RNA". It matches the Rfam family "Bacterial small subunit ribosomal RNA", at positions 505 to 796 of the family's 1533-position model. The record is from RNAcentral.